This is a long non-coding RNA of Synchiropus splendidus (mandarinfish), 331 nucleotides long. RefSeq lists it as uncharacterized. The transcript is spliced from 3 exons. NCBI's taxonomy places the organism in Eukaryota, Metazoa, Chordata, Actinopteri, Syngnathiformes, Callionymidae. The record is from RefSeq and is a predicted model, not a curated record.
AUUUUUUUGGCAGUUGGCAGUGAUCACAAUGGUGAACUGAACUGCAAUGUCAGGACGUCCGUCCGCCCCCCUGCAUCGAGAUCACCCUUUAUGUUGAAAUGGUCAGCGCGUAACCCCUGGUGAUUAAUCCCCGCCUUCUUGACAGACUCAGACAUCCAUUCAAGCAGAACCCAAACAAAGCUGUCGACGGCAUUUUGCUUGAAUCAGAAUUCUGGUGUGGUCCAUUAACCUUACCCAUCUGCAUCUCAGAGAGAGAGGAGCGUAGCUGUCUGUUUCAGUGACUCUGUUUCUCAUUAUACUGGAAGGGCUGGAUGAGGCUUCGGGUGUGAGG